Molecule: ribosomal RNA, 472 nt
Filed under: uncultured bacterium
Lineage: Bacteria
Description: partial 16S ribosomal RNA
Rfam family: Bacterial small subunit ribosomal RNA
Source: RNAcentral
GAUGAACGCUGGCGGCGUGCCUAAUACAUGCAAGUCGAGCGAACAGACGAGGAGCUUGCUCCUCUGACGUUAGCGGCGGACGGGUGAGUAACACGUGGAUAACCUACCUAUAAGACUGGGAUAACUUCGGGAAACCGGAGCUAAUACCGGAUAAUAUAUUGAACCGCAUGGUUCAAUAGUGAAAGACGGUUUUGCUGUCACUUAUAGAUGGAUCCGCGCCGCAUUAGCUAGUUGGUAAGGUAACGGCUUACCAAGGCAACGAUGCGUAGCCGACCUGAGAGGGUGAUCGGCCACACUGGAACUGAGACACGGUCCAGACUCCUACGGGAGGCAGCAGUGGGGAAUAUUGGACAAUGGGCGAAAGCCUGAUCCAGCAAUGCCGCGUGAGUGAUGAAGGCCUUAGGGUUGUAAAGCUCUUUUACCCGGGAUGAUAAUGACAGUACCGGGAGAAUAAGCUCCGGCUAACUCCGUG